CACAGACACUGCAGCAUAUUUUCAGCUGAGAGACUCAAACACAGGCUUUGUGUUGUUUUCCUCUCUGGUUUUAAAUCUGUUAAACGCAGACUUUAAACUAAAUUUUCUUUUUAGAAGAAGCUUCCUGCUGCUUUGUGGGACCUCCAGCUGUUGCACUCUGCAUUGACCUGACCCUGACACGUGUGACUGUGCAGUGAUUCAUUGUCUGAACUGGUUUAGCCGUUGGGUGUGAAAAUCUGCCGGAGAAGAUGUUUGCUGCUGAAGCUAAAGCAUUUGUCCAGACGCUGGGAGGAACAGACCUCAUCUCUAAUGAUAACUUAAACUGUAAAAUGGAUCUGCUGACUCUGGUCAAAGUCACUGAGGGAAUUUUUUGGCCGGUACAGAAGUACAAAGUGAUACACUAUAGCCUGCCCGAGCUCACCGAGGAAGAAAACUUCUCUCCAGUUCACCCUCACUGAGCUGACCUGCAUGACAGCAUGCUGACCUCAUAUGAAACAGAAAAAAAUGAAA
This is a long non-coding RNA of Astatotilapia calliptera (eastern happy), 510 nucleotides long. The record is from Ensembl. NCBI's taxonomy places the organism in Eukaryota, Metazoa, Chordata, Actinopteri, Cichliformes, Cichlidae.